Zootoca vivipara (common lizard) is the source of this 3159-nucleotide non-coding RNA. NCBI's taxonomy places the organism in Eukaryota, Metazoa, Chordata, Lepidosauria, Squamata, Lacertidae. The record is from RefSeq and is a predicted model, not a curated record.
GGAGUGGCUGCUCGGGGUUCCAAAGGGGGGAGAACUGGGGCGGGACCCCAUGGGGAGAGUUCCUGUUUGCUCUUCCAGGUCGCGUCAGCGGGUGAAGGUGGCUUCUUUAACAAACUGAAAAAAGAGGGGAAAGAUGGGAGGUUUGUGAUGUAAGCUUUAUAUUAAGUCCGCCACCCCUAAGCAUCGAGAGGGCUGAAGGGUGCACCUGAUGCAGUGUUUGUUUCCAGCAGUGGCAGAACAGAUGCCUCUGUUAAAGUCUCCAGGCGCUUGGUCUAUCGAAGAUAGGCUGCUGCUGAAUGUGGAGGUUCCAUCAUCUGGCCAUCCUAGUUAACAGACCUACAUAGCCCCGUCCUCUCCGGUGCAUGUUUGCUCAGAACAUCAAGCUCCCAUGGAACUGGCCGGACCUUUGAAGUUCUUUGUUGGGAUGACUUGUGUGUCUCCUCCAAAAUCUUGGAAAUGCAUCAUUUGCAUCUGGAGGGAAGCUGCAACUGACACCAAUGGAAACUUCACUUCUGAUGUAAACAGCAGCUUUCUUAAGGUAAGGUCACUUGUCAUCAGGGAUAGCUGGGGUAGGGGGAAGGAUUAAACCUUUUCUUCCCCCUUCUGUGGUCCUGCUGCUUUUGUCCCCAUGGCUACUAUUUGCAAUUUUUUUAAAAGUGCACUUUCAUAAACGUGCACGUUAACUGCAUUAAUGUAAUUAACUUCUCAUCUAGUUUGGCUUUCAAAGAUAAAGGCUUAUUCAUAAGGAAUGAGAAAGAGAUUCUACUUUCUUUUGACUGAAUGUGGCUUUUCCAGAUACGGUAGAAGGUUGUCACAUUCAUUUCAUACAUUUCUUUAAAAAAAAAAAAGCAGUACUGAAAGAUUAACCAGAAAGAGUCUUUCCUACCUGGAACUCUCCCAAAAUAAAGUGGUUGAGCAUGGCUGGUGGAGAGCAUAGCUGAUGGUCCAGUGGUGGAGUUACUCUUCGCAUCUACUUCGAGGUACACAAUGUUCUGUUUCCGAGUUACUAUAAACACAUGAAUCAGUUAGUCCUGCCUUUCAUCAAUACAUCCCUCAGUUUCAGUCACAGUAAUACAGUACUUCACUUAAAUCCUUUCUCCUUGGAUCUAUCUAUCUAUCUAUCUAUCUAUCUAUCUAUCUAUCUAUCUAUCUAUCUAUCUAUCUAUGAAUGAAAAUCUUUCCUCACCUACAAUUCCAAGACACCUAUUGUAGACAAAUACAAUAUGUCUGUAGGUAGCCAUGUUUAAAUAUUAGCCUGGUGUUGGUUGCUAGCCCUUUUCUCCCUGAAUUACGUCUCCCCAUGCAUCUUUUACCCCAAACCUGUUCACCUUGCAACCGUAGGUCUGAAAACCCAGGGGGGGGAGGAAACAGCUGGGGGAGAGAGGAUCUAAGGAAAAUAGGCUAGGAUAGCUACAUAUUACAGCUGCAGUGUAAUAUGUAGUUUGGAAUGCAGGAAUGUUAUUUGCAGUACUAUAGUUUGUUUCAUUCUUAUUCCAGUGAGAAAACCACGUGAGAAAAAGAGCAAAUAUGACUCCACCAAUCCACCAUCUAAUGUUACUUAAUGAAUCUGUUAACUGAAGCAACAAAUCACCUUGCUUUCGAACAAUCCUGCUGUAAAAAGGUAAAGGUACCCCUGACUGUUAGAUCCAGUCACGGACGACUCUGGGGUUGCGGCGCUCAUCUCGCUCUAUAGGCCGAGGGAGCCAGUGUUUGUCCGCAGACAGCUUCCAGGUCAUGUGGCCAGCAUGACUAAGCUGCUUUUGGCAAACCAGAGCAGCGCACGGAAACAUCGUUUACCUUCCCGCCAGAGUGGUACCUAUUUAUCUACUUGCACUUUGAUGUGCUUUUGAACUGCAAGGUGGGCAGGAGCUGGGACUGAGCAACAGGAGCUCACCCCGUCACAGGGAUUCAAACUGCCGACCUUCCGAUCAGCAAUCCCUAGGCUCAGUGGUUUAGACCACGGCGCCACCUGCAUCCUGCUGUAGUCCCACUGAAAUCUAUGGGACUACUCUUAGAUUAUUCUGAACUGAUUUACAGAUUGCAUUCAUAACACGUGUAUAGUCAGAAUUCAUAUCAAGCUAAACUCAGGAUGCACACAAAUCUUAAACAGAUACAAUUUAAGUUAUGCAUUUAAAGAAUAUUAGUUAAAAUGCAUUAGAAAUCCAGUUAGUCAUCUUUAAAAAGCAUGAAGUGCUACUUUUUUUUUAGCGCUCAGCAAUGUCUGACUCUCAUUUUCUUGCCUCUAAAGAACUGCUGAAUGAGAUUGCAUAGUACCUGCUAUGGAGUGCCAUUUUCCAUCACAGAGAGACUGCCGAGGCGUGACUGACGUUGAGAACUCUCCAGCACCAUUAUUACCAGAGGCAGUGAGCUGUGAAAACAGACAUAUUUUAAAUUAGCAGUAACAAAAGGAAUAAAAUAAAAGCAUGGACACAUGAAAAUGUGGCGAUGAAAUAUUUUCUGAGCCUGAUUAAUUUAGCCAAUGCUUUUAGGGACAGUUGUCUCACUUGUAAACCCUAGAUUGCUAUGCUGUUGCUCUUUGGGUACUUCCAAUCCACAGAAAUGCCAAGAAAGUGUGUUUUUUUAUUCUGUGCAUUACUUUGGUGAAAAGGAAGUAGCCACGUUAAGAGUUUUCUAGGUGGUUAUUGCUAAGUUGAAGCUGAUUUAAUAGUUAAUUUAUACUUAACAUCACAAGACGUUGGCUUACACUGCCCUUGACAACGCCAGUGUCUGCAGUGAAGCUUAGAUAUUGUCCAUUUUCAGAUGUGUCCCAUACUGCUGCCCUGUACCACAUAAAUAUAUAGGAACCAUGAAAACUGAGCCAGGUUCUAUUUGCACAACUCCAUCUCUUCACCUGCAUAGUCCAUCACCAGUUAUAUUUGCCAUGCUUAAACGUGACACAAGUCUGGGAGCAGACUUUUGUAAAUACUGAUACCUAGAUCUUAGUAGUUCAAAGUAGAUGCUCCCUUCCCUCACCGACUCUGUCUUCACCAAAUCUGGGGUGGGUGGGGGAGAGAUGGAAUCACACCUACCAUGCCUUCUUCCAUGUACACAGUUAAAUAGUUCCUUUGUUUGCUGCCAGUAUGAAUUAAAAUGCCACUCAAGCUUCUUGAACGAAUGUUAAAUACAACCCUGUAGUCCAAGCUCAAUGAAAAAGCAUUU